AAGGAUCAUUACUGAACGCUUGAGGAUGUUGCUGGCCUUUCUUUCGCAAAGUGGGCAAUGUGCACUCCUCGAACAUUCCAACCUUCACACCUGUGCACCUUUUGUAGGCUCGGCAUGACAAUGUCUGGCCUAUGUAUUUUUUAACCCUUACACACACCAUUUGAAUGUUUUUUGAAUGUCUUGUUGAUGAUGAUAAAUAAAACACAACUUUCAACAAUGGAUCUCUUGGCUCUCGCAUCGAUGAAGAACGCAGCGAAAUGCGAUACGUAAUGUGAAUUGCAGAAUUCCGUGAAUCAUUGAAUCUUUGAACGCACCUUGCGCCCCUUGGUAUUCCGAGGGGCAUGCCUGUUUGAGUGUCAUUUCAUUCUCAACUUGACCCCGGGGUUUUUCUUCUCCAGGAAGUCAAGCUUGGAUUUGUGGAGGUUGUGCUGGGGUCACCUUUGAGGUGGCUCUGGCUCCUCUGAAAAGCAUUAGCGGAAAGGUUUCAAGCGCACCGUGGCAUUGAUAAUUUUGUCUAUGCCUCCGGUGAAGCUGAGCUUUACCAUGUUCGCUUAGAGUGGUCCCGCUUGGGACAAACAAAAACACACCUUUGACAAUCACCUCAAAUCAGGUAGGACUACCCGCUGAACUUAA
Molecule: ribosomal RNA, 633 nt
Filed under: Hygrocybe mucronella
Lineage: Eukaryota; Fungi; Basidiomycota; Agaricomycetes; Agaricales; Hygrophoraceae
Description: eukaryotic LSU rRNA
Rfam family: 5.8S ribosomal RNA (bases 206-359)
Source: RNAcentral